Molecule: ribosomal RNA, 265 nt
Filed under: uncultured bacterium
Lineage: Bacteria
Description: partial 16S ribosomal RNA
Rfam family: Bacterial small subunit ribosomal RNA
Source: RNAcentral
GUCCACGCCGUAAACGAUGGGCACUAGGCGUCGGGGGGAGCGACCCCCUCGGUGCCGUCGCUAACGCAGUAAGUGCCCCGCCUGGGGAGUACGGCCGCAAGGCUGAAACUCAAAGGAAUUGACGGGGGCCCGCACAAGCGGUGGAGCAUGUGGUUUAAUUCGAUGCAACGCGAAGAACCUUACCUGGGCUUGACAUGCUGGUGAAAGCCGGUGGAAACAUCGGCCCCUCUUCGGAGCGCCAGCACAGGUGCUGCAUGGCUGUCGU